This 193-nucleotide small RNA is filed under the name Anaerolineae bacterium. Its description in RNAcentral is "Magnesium sequence". It matches the Rfam family "M-box riboswitch aptamer (ykoK leader)". From Rfam's summary of the family: M-box riboswitch, also know as ykoK leader is described as a metaloregulatory RNA that sense divalent metals and function as a genetic control element of genes related to divalent metal transport in bacteria. It was first reported upstream of the B.subtilis ykoK gene and genes with related functions in other bacteria. Phylogenetic analysis of the distribution of M-box RNAs across bacterial genomes revealed that M-box riboswitches are most often employed for the regulation of Mg2+ transporter genes Lineage: Bacteria; Bacillati; Chloroflexota; Anaerolineae. The record is from RNAcentral.
AAAUACCCUCGUUAGGCGAGGCGGCUGUGUGGGACACAGGCCAUUGCCCCGAAACGUCGAAAGACGCCAAGGGGUAAACCAGGCUGGGCCGGCUUAAGGCCCCGCUCAAAGUGGCUGGGAAAGUGGUUGCGCUCUUAGCAACCAUGGAAAUCCCUACGACGCACAGUGCCAAAGCUCCACCAGGAGGUAACCA